Molecule: long non-coding RNA, 315 nt
Filed under: Lathyrus oleraceus (garden pea)
Lineage: Eukaryota; Viridiplantae; Streptophyta; Magnoliopsida; Fabales; Fabaceae
Description: Pisum sativum (pea) long non-coding RNA (PSAT_LNC017085)
Source: RNAcentral
UUCUUUUUCUAGCAAUUUUUUACAAUCCUUUGGUUUAAAUGACUUUGUGAGGGUCACCUAUACCGGAGUUGCCUUUUUGCUUUCUUUUAUUUUUUUAUUUUUUUCUGGAUCAUUCACUUAUUUGCAUCGGUCCCCUACGUAGAGGAUGCGUAGGCCGGAGCUGACUGCUGAGAUAAACUACUAAGGACUUAUAUGGAAAUGAUGAUUAAGGCCAUGGUAUAUGGGGUUUCGGGAAUGAUUCCUAUAUUUACGAAGCUUAUGGUGCUAAAACAGAUACUGAUGUUUCGCAAAGUUCUCCCAAGUCACCGCAUCCUU